RNAcentral lists this long non-coding RNA (1383 nucleotides) under Ricinus communis (castor bean). RNAcentral's name for it is "long non-coding RNA (RCOM_LNC000335)". The record is from RNAcentral. Lineage: Eukaryota; Viridiplantae; Streptophyta; Magnoliopsida; Malpighiales; Euphorbiaceae.
UCAGAUUCCAAGCCUAUUGUCUAUAUGAGUUCAUUGUAGUUAUCAAUCAUCAAUCACAUAUUUUUCAUUAAUUAUUAUAAAGUACAAAAAAUAAAGGAAAAUAAAAAUAAAAAGAAAGAAAAAGAAAUAAAAAUUGCAACUCUCCUACAGCUAUUGGCAAAAAAGAAAGGGCUAAAACGGCAUAAAAGCACAAAAAUCGGCAAAAUCGGGCGAUCUAUGGAUGCACAACUGAUCAGCUAUGCGCACAAUCGAUAGGUUGUAGGGUAUAUGCAGUCGGUUGUGGCUUUUGAGUCAGCAAUUCAGGCUAUUUCUCCAUCUUUUCCUAGUUUUCAGCGAUUUUAGGCUCUACAAAUAGCCAUAAAAGACAAAAAAUAAUUAGCAAAGUAUUAAAAGUAAAUAAAAUAGAGCAUGAAAGAAUCAUAAUAAAAGAUCAUAUACCCUAACAUAUUAGAUCAUAUAAUAAGAGGGCAAAUAGGUUGUGAUUUUAGCUAAGUAGAAACAGAGUUGAAAUCCAAUCAUUUAUCAUCAUAUGCAGAAAUUAACUAACAUUCAUAUGAAUAAAAAUAAAAACAAAAAUUAAUAUAUCUCUAAAAAAUACUGAUUAUUGAAUGGUAGAUUAAUCAAAUAGGAAAUACUAACAAAUGAAAAAUGCAAAUAAGAAACUAUCCUAGAACAUAUUAGAAUGAUAGUUUCAGAGAUAAACAUAUUUUAAAAGGACAAGUUAAUACAAAGAAUAUUGGAUCUAAUCAUGGCAAAAUUCAAUUAUUAAUAAAUUACCCUGAACAUACAAACCUAUAAACAUAAAGCCUAAACAUUUAUAAUCAUGGAAAAAUUAAUAGGCGUAACCUUGAAAAUCAUGGCUCUUAAUCAUGAAAGCAAUUAAGACUAAAUCUAACAUAUUAAGAUUUAAAUCCGAAGCAUGUAACAAACUAACAGAUAUAACACCUAAAUCAACAGGUGAUAACAGAUCUAAGCAGAUAAAAGUAUAAAAUUGAAAUAAAUAAAAGAAAUAGAGAGAAAAUGAAUCGAUGAUAAUUGAUGAUAGAGAACCCUCAAGUUUUCACUGUAUCGUGCAGACUUGCAAAUCUCAAAAAGAGAGGUUGGUUUAAAGACUGGGUAUUGGCUAGUAUCCUCCCAAGUGUUUAGGUGUUUAGGAAUCUAGUACAUUCAAGUUUUUUAUCAAAAGACUUACCAAAAAUUGCUAGCCCACAAUGUCUAGUGGUUUCUUUUUCUAUCUAUAGACAGGAGAGAAAAUCCUAAGAACCUGAUAAAAAUAAUAUGGAUAAUUAUUAAUAAUUUAAAAUAAAUAAAUGAAUAUAAACCCUUAUCAUAUUUGUUUUUAUCGAUAGAUAAGACUCUUAAAACUUUGAUAGUAUCAAAAAU